CUGGCAAUCUGGGUACAACAAUUUUUUGUGAUCAUCUAUUAUGCGCUGCAACUUUGCUGCUUCCUUCUCAGUUUUGCAAUCUCUGUCUACAACUCAUAGCACCAGACCAAAGUCAUCAGUAGGGCCAUUUUCUGCAAACUCAUCUUCAUCAGCCUCGUCCAUUGUAGUAUCUGCAAAAGCUUGGCCUGCAACCCAGUCCGGAAUGCUGUCAUCCUCCUCCUCCUCCUCACCAUCUUCCAUUACAACCCCUCAUUCAAAUAGUUAGGCAUGAAACCGUAUCUAAACAAGUGGCUGUGAAUAGUCCCCCAGGAAUCCUUUGAAUAGUCCUUCUUGUUAUUGCAUUGGAAGCAUGGACAACAUACGAACUCAUUCUCUGGCUUGUUCGCUUUGGCCACUUUGAGAAAAUAAUGCAAGCCAUCAAUAAACACCUUGCUCCGC
Molecule: long non-coding RNA, 438 nt
Filed under: Setaria viridis
Lineage: Eukaryota; Viridiplantae; Streptophyta; Magnoliopsida; Poales; Poaceae
Description: long non-coding RNA (SVIR_LNC000226)
Source: RNAcentral